This 249-nucleotide long non-coding RNA is filed under the name Lathyrus oleraceus (garden pea). RNAcentral's name for it is "Pisum sativum (pea) long non-coding RNA (PSAT_LNC032700)". Lineage: Eukaryota; Viridiplantae; Streptophyta; Magnoliopsida; Fabales; Fabaceae. The record is from RNAcentral.
AAGAGCUGAUUUUUUGUAUGUAGACCCUUGUGGACAUAUGGAGGGCCAUGGAAAAGAGUUUCACCCAAAGAAUCAGAAAUAAACUGAUUUUUUACCAAACCCUAGUUUUAGGGCAAAAUGAUCGGGAACUGAUUGCACUAUUUGCCAAUGGAUCUUUCUGAGAUAAUUGUGAGUCUUCCUAGGCCAAGAUGCCUCUCCAAUCAUGACAUGGAUGAGCCCCUCUACUUCCAACCAAACAUUGCCUGUUGC